RNAcentral lists this ribosomal RNA (492 nucleotides) under uncultured bacterium. RNAcentral's name for it is "partial 16S ribosomal RNA". It matches the Rfam family "Bacterial small subunit ribosomal RNA", at positions 29 to 507 of the family's 1533-position model. The record is from RNAcentral.
AGUGAACGCUGGCGGUAGGCCUAACACAUGCAAGUCGAACGGCAGCACAGUAAGAGCUUGCUCUUACGGGUGGCGAGUGGCGGACGGGUGAGGAAUACAUCGGAAUCUACUUUUUCGUGGGGGAUAACGUAGGGAAACUUACGCUAAUACCGCAUACGACCUACGGGUGAAAGCAGGGGAUCUUCGGACCUUUCGCGAUUGAAUGAGCCGAUGUCGGAUUAGCUAGUUGGCGGGGUAAAGGCCCACCAAGGCGACGAUCCGUAGCUGGUCUGAGAGGAUGAUCAGCCACACUGGAACUGAGACACGGUCCAGACUCCUACGGGAGGCAGCAGUGGGGAAUAUUGGACAAUGGGGGCAAGCCUGAUCCAGCCAUACCGCGUGGGUGAAGAAGGCCUUCGGGUUGUAAAGCCCUUUUGUUGGGAAAGAAAAGCAGCAGGUUAAUACCCCGCUGUUCUGACGGUACCCAAAGAAUAAGCACCGGCUAACUUCGUG